RNAcentral lists this ribosomal RNA (497 nucleotides) under uncultured bacterium. RNAcentral's name for it is "partial 16S ribosomal RNA". It matches the Rfam family "Bacterial small subunit ribosomal RNA", at positions 28 to 507 of the family's 1533-position model. The record is from RNAcentral.
GAUAAACGCUGGCGGCGUGCCUAAUACAUGCAAGUCGAGCGAACGGACGAGAAGCUUGCUUCUCUGAUGUUAGCGGCGGACGGGUGAGUAACACGUGGAUAACCUACCUAUAAGACUGGGAUAACUUCGGGAAACCGGAGCUAAUACCGGAUGAUAUUUUGAACCGCAUGGUUCAAAAGUGAAAGACGGUCUUGCUGUCACUUAUAGAUGGAUCCGCGCUGCAUUAGCUAGUUGGUAAGGUAACGGCUUACCAAGGCAACGAUGCAUAGCCGACCUGAGAGGGUGAUCGGCCACACUGGAACUGAGACACGGUCCAGACUCCUACGGGAGGCAGCAGUAGGGAAUCUUCCGCAAAGGGCGAAAGCCUGACGGAGCAACGCCGCGUGAGUGAUGAAGGUCUUCGGAUCGUAAAACUCUGUUAUUAGGGAAGAACAUAUGUGUAAGUAACUGUGCACAUCUUGACGGUACCUAAUCAGAAAGCCACGGCUAACUACGUG